AUGUGCUCAUUUUGCACGAAUGUGGAAACUGUUAAUCAUCUCUUUUUCACUUGUCCGCUCGCCCGCACAGUCUGGGACGUGCUGGGGUUGACAGCAGGGGCCUCUUGUGCCCCUAGGUCUAUUUGGCAAUGCUUUGCUUGGUUGUACAAGCUCUUUCCAGGAGGGAAGAAAUUAUAUAUGAUGAUUAUUGCGGCCGUGUGCUGGGCAGUUUGGUGCCUUCGUAACAAAACUACUUUUGAUAAGUAUAAUGCUCGUACUCCUUUGGGGGCUGUCUUCACCGUUUGCUCUUUUAUGUUAUACUGGGUAGGGCUGCUUAAGGAGGAAGACAAGACGAAAUUCCAGGCUGGUGUGAAGAGGCUUGUUCAUGUGGCGACUACUCUGGCGGACAGAUCAUAUGCGCGCGGCAGGCUGCUCCUGGGAGAUGGGGAUGGUAUUCAGAUUGUAUAG
RNAcentral lists this ribosomal RNA (447 nucleotides) under Triticum aestivum (bread wheat). RNAcentral's name for it is "partial small subunit ribosomal RNA". Lineage: Eukaryota; Viridiplantae; Streptophyta; Magnoliopsida; Poales; Poaceae. The record is from RNAcentral.